This 74-nucleotide transfer RNA is filed under the name Vischeria sp. CAUP Q 202. Its description in RNAcentral is "tRNA-OTHER". It matches the Rfam family "tRNA". Rfam says of the family: Transfer RNA (tRNA) molecules are approximately 80 nucleotides in length. Lineage: Eukaryota; Eustigmatophyceae; Eustigmatales; Chlorobotryaceae. The record is from RNAcentral.
AAGUAUAUAGCUCAAAUGGUAGAGCAAAAUUUUUUAAAAAAUUUUAGUUUUGAGUUCAAAUCUCAAUAUGCUUA